RNAcentral lists this ribosomal RNA (254 nucleotides) under uncultured bacterium. RNAcentral describes it as "partial small subunit ribosomal RNA". It matches the Rfam family "Bacterial small subunit ribosomal RNA", at positions 26 to 285 of the family's 1533-position model. The record is from RNAcentral.
AGGACGAACGCUGGCGGCGUGCUUAACACAUGCAAGUCGAGCGGAAAGGCCCUUCGGGGUACUCGAGCGGCGAACGGGUGGGUAACACGUGAGUAAUCUGCCCCUAGCUCUGGGAUAGCUCCGGGAAACCGGGAUUAAUACCGGAUACGACCACUUUAGACAUCUGUUGUGGUGGAAAGAAUUUUGGCUAGGGAUGAGCUCGCGGCCUAUCAGCUUGUUGGUGGGGUAACGGCCUACCAAGGCGACGACGGGUA